Molecule: ribosomal RNA, 1237 nt
Filed under: metagenome
Description: bacterial SSU rRNA
Rfam family: Bacterial small subunit ribosomal RNA
Source: RNAcentral
ACCAAGGCAGUGAUGGGUAGCUGGUCUGAGAGGACGACCAGCCACAUUGGGACUGAGAUACGGCCCAGACUCCUACGGGAGGCAGCAGUGGGGAAUCUUGGCCAAUGGACGAAAGUCUGAGCCAGCGACACCGCGUGGGGGAUGACGGCCUUCGGGUUGUAAACCCCUUUUUCUGGGGAAAGAAUAAGGACGGGAGGAAAUGCCCGCCCGAUGACGGUACUCCAGGAAUAAGCAUCGGCAAACUCUGUGCCAGCAGCCGCGGUAAGACAGAGGGUGCAAGCGUUAUCCGGAAUUACUGGGCGUAAAGGGCGUCUAGGCGGGUGAGUAAGUCACUUGUGAAAUCCCCCGGCUCAACCGGGGAGGGUCUGGUGAUACUGCUUGUCUUGGGUGUAGGAGAGGAGAGUGGAACUCACAGAGUAGCGGUGGAAUGCGUAGAUACUGUGAGGUACCCCGAUGGCGAAGGCAACUCUCUGGCCUACUACCGACGCUGAAGCGCGAAAGCGUGGGGAGCAAAGGGGAUUAGAUACCCCCGUAGUCCACGCCCCAAACGAUGUUCACUUGGUGUCGGCCGCUCAUACUGGUCGGUGCCGGAGCUAACGCGUUAAGUGAACCGCCUGAGGAGUACGGCCGCAAGGCUAAAACUCAAGAGAAUUGACGGGUCCCCGCACAAGCGGUGGAGCACGUGGUUUAAUUCGAUAUAAGCGAAGAACCUCACCCAGGCUUGACAUACUAGUGGUAGGAACCUGAAAGGGGGACGACCCUGCCUUCGGGUAGGGAGCUAGUACAGGUGAUGCAUGGCUGUCGUCAGCUCGUGUCGUGGGAUGUUGGGUUAAGUCCCGAAACGAGCGCAACCCUUGUCGUUAGUUGCCAGCGGGUAAUGCCGGGGACUCUAACGAGACUGCUGGUGAAUAGCCGGAGGAAGGCGGGGAUGACGUCAAGUCAUCAUGUCCCUUAUGCCUGGGGCGACACACAUGCUACAAUGGGGGGUACAAAGGGUCGCAAUCCUGUAAAGGGGAGCCAAUCUCAAAAAACCCUCCUUAGUUCGGAUUGAGGUCUGCAACUCGACCUCAUGAAGCCGGAAUCGCUAGUAAUCGCAGGUCAGCCACACUGCGGUGAAUAUGGACUCGGGGAUUGUACACACCGCCCGUCACACCAACCGAGUGGGGGGUACCUGAAGUCGUCCUUUUGAGGGCGCCUAGGGUAACUUCCGCAAGAGGGGUGAAGUCGUAACAAGGUA